AGAACGACUCUUGCAGUGUUCACUUUGUGAAGGUUUUCUCAACUGUUCUCUUAACAAAAAUUAGCACAUAUUUGUUUUUAGUUCAUACUGAGAUUUGUAGGACGAGGACCUCAGACCCACAGUUCCUGAGCAAUUAUUCUGUAAUUUUUCUUGUCACUUUAUAAUUUAAUUCCUAAAGUAUUAGAAAUAAAUUCAAUCUUACAGUAAUCUCUAUUUCCUUUUUUUUCUUUUAAAAAACACUGGAAAACAACAAUACCACUGGUUUCUUAGAUUUUUGCAAGGAUCACAGCUGAAAAAACAUCAAAGAAAUGAAGGAUUCCGGAAGCUCUGGUAAAAACACAAAGGAUUCUUCCAGGCUUCUUUUCUCUUGCGUUUUAAAGAUAAAUGGUAAAACUGAACUGGAAAUCCAUCUGGCCGGCUGCCUGCUCUAAUGAAUAACCCCACUUUGGCUCGUGCAAUGACUUCUUCCCUUUGGAAUGCAAGUGCGGUGGCAGUGUCAAGGAUGCCUGUGUGUUUGCAGCAGGUUCCUUCCAGAAGCAGCUGCAAGUGCCACCUCCAGGCCAUCUGGCCAAUGUGAGGAAAGGAGGCUGCAAGGGCUUGGCAAAAACAACUUUCUGUUCCUCUGGUAUCCCCUGAUAACUGAUUUCAAGUUAUGGCCAAGGACUGCCUUAUCGCCGUCAGUGGCUGUCAAAAAUUUAUAAGUAUAUUCAUUUCCCUAUUCAACUUAAUUGGUAUUUUGGGUAUGACACUAGAAAAGCAAGUUAGACUUGCCUGUUGGAGUCCAAGGAUACCUCCAACAAAAUUCUAGACAAUAAAAGAAAGGGUAAGUGUCUGAGGGGAGGGGGCACUUACAAAUUAUUCCAUUUAAUGCUAAUUCGAGGCUUCCAGAUUCAUUUUGGGAAAAUCAAAGAGCAAGAGCUGUAUGCAUGGCUUUUUAAAACACAAAGAAAAUUGGGAAGCAUGGGCUUCCCAAUUUUCCUGCGCAUAAACUUCUAGAACAAUUUCUAUUGUUGAUACUUUAAAAAAAAUCUUUUUCUUUUCUGUGAUGUGGUCUUUUAAACUCAUACCACAACUUAUGGCUCCCUCUACUUCCUAUAUUUUAAUUGAUCUUGAGGUUAUUUUCAAGUCACUGGGCUUAAUGAACAAAUAUUUUAGAAUUUCUUCCUUUAUAUACACUCAUUUCUGUCUCAAUAAAAUGUCUAAUCAGGAAUUCACUUGUGUAGAAAAUAAAAAAUAGAAGUACAUACCCUUCAAGUGAA
Molecule: long non-coding RNA, 1259 nt
Organism: Homo sapiens (human)
Lineage: Eukaryota; Metazoa; Chordata; Mammalia; Primates; Hominidae
Source: Ensembl